UACAGAGGUCUCGAGCGUUAGGCGGAAUCACUGGGCUUAAAGCGUGUGUAGGCGGAUCGUUAAGUGCCAUGUGAAAUCCCACGGCUCAACCGUGGAACUGCUUGGCAUACUGGCGGUCUUGAGCAACCUAGGGGCGAGCGGAACAAAUGGUGGAGCGGUGAAAUGCGUAGAUAUCAUUUGGAACGCCAAUGGUGAAAACAGCUCGCUGGGGGUUUGCUGACGCUGAGACACGAAAGCCAGGGGAGCAAACGGG
This 253-nucleotide ribosomal RNA is filed under the name uncultured bacterium. RNAcentral describes it as "partial 16S ribosomal RNA". It matches the Rfam family "Bacterial small subunit ribosomal RNA", at positions 524 to 776 of the family's 1533-position model. The record is from RNAcentral.